AUGCCCCAGACUUUUUCACUAGGGACCCUGCAUGAGCCAGCAGGUGCCCAGAGAGAGCCCCCGCCCUGCCCUCAAGGCUUGGCUGAGGGCUUCCUGGAGGAGGAGUUUGGCUCAAUGCUGAGCUGAACCAACUGCAGUUUUUGGAGUCUGCACGCAUCAUUCACAAUCCCGUGGAGUAUUGUAUAAGAGCCACAUCGUAACUUUGUGACUCGCUGCUGCCAGGGCCCCAAGGAAGUGCUCUUCCUGGGCACGAACCCAGGACCUUUUAGCAUGGCCCAGACAUGAGUGCCCUUUGAGGAAGUGAACAUGGUCUGGGACUGGCUGGGCAUUGGAGGGCCUGUGCUAACCCCUCCCCAAGAGCACUGUCUUAGCUGGGACUGGGGUGCUGGGACUGGCGUGCUCAGUGAGAGGUGAGUGGUGCCCGAUUCUGGGGCUUUUCCAGAACCUCUGUGGAAAGCCUGAGGUCUUCUCCUUUCACUGCUUUGUCCACAAUCUGUGUUCUCUGCUAUUCCUGGCUCCCAGAGAACACAACCUCACUCCUGCUGAGCUUCCUGCCAAGCAGCAAGAACAGCUUCUUGGGAUCUUAGUGUCCCCUCUGCCGGCAGGUGCGGCGGCUGGGGGUUCGGCUGGGGGUGGGAGUGGCCCGGCUGGGGCAGUAGUGGGCGCGAAUGGCUUUGGCAGGCCUGAUGCCAGAGGUCCAGGUGGAGGGGCUCCUGCAUCUCUCUCCCCGUAACCCACAGGAAAACAGGGCUAAUAGGCAGUGACCAAGUGAGUUGACCAAGUGAGUUGGGGCUGCUGCCGCGGCUAUGGA
This 811-nucleotide long non-coding RNA is filed under the name Homo sapiens (human). Its description in RNAcentral is "non-protein coding lnc-LIPG-4:1". Lineage: Eukaryota; Metazoa; Chordata; Mammalia; Primates; Hominidae. The record is from RNAcentral.